UAAUCUUUAAAAAAGGUGUGUAUUAGAAGAGAUCUUUAUGUUUGUUUGGUUUUAGGAGUUGCAUUGAAAAUUAUAUGUGAUGCGUUAUGGUAAAAGGGUGGAAGGGAUCAUAAUAAAGUAUAGAUGUUUUUCUUAUAUUACUUAGGCCGGACAAUCAAAUCCUGGAUGUUAAUUGUGUAGAGAUCUUAAUGGAUUCUUGUGACAGGUACCAUCCAAUUGAGGACUUGCAUGGAUAAAGCAGUUUUAAGGUACUAAUAAAAUUUGUAAUAGUUUUUCAUCUUAAAACAGUGGUUUCCUUUAACAUGGAACUCUUUUAUACUGGGAGUAGCUUCUGACACUACAGUUUUUGAUAGUAAACAACUGAGUAGUGUUUUGUACAAAAGAAUGUAUGAAGCAUAUUUGCUUAGAAAACCAAGAAAACUUUUAACUGCUGAUGUCUCGAUGCGUUAAUAUCACAGUCUGAAGGAGGACAAGUAUUCAUUUCUACAGAGGACUUUGAAUAUCUUGUAUAUUGAUUUUAUUUCUGCCUUUUGUUUCUUGUACUUGUUGAUUGUUGGUACAAGUCGUGUGUAAUAUAUUUGUGAGUUCCGCUGUAUGUCGGCACUGUUUGUCCUUCACUCAUAUAGCCAGAUGUAUGUACGUACGAAAACAUGUGUAUAUGUUUGUACUCAUGUAUGUGGAUUUAUGUGUUGUAUAUUUUGGUUCUAAAAGGCAUGUAUGCUUUCUAUACCUGCUAUCAACAUGCUGAGUUGCUCCAUGAAUGUGCACAUGGAUGGUGCAGUACUGUUCAUUUAACUUCUUUUGCUUCAUAUUAGAUUUUCGUUGUUGUUCUGUGCUUGGGAAUGCAUUUCUUCUGCUUUAACCAAAACUCUUUGUUUCUCCCCAGUAUUCAAAAGCAGCAGGAAAGAUCAAAGAAGCCAUAUCAAGCCUCCCUCCCGCUACUGUGGAUGAUGACAAUGAUGAAGCAUCAGCCCUUGCUCUAGAUGGAAAUAAAGCAAGUGAUGCAGAGAACAAGGACACUAGUACCACAGAAACCAGUCAUUCUUAUCCGAAAAAAGAAAUUCCCGAUCCUUUUGGCUUAGAUACUCUGCUUCCAAGUACAUCGAAGAAAGAGAAAAAGGCCAGAGAGAAGGAGGUAGCAGCUUUGAACAGGAAGGCAGACGAAGAAGAAUCGAAGAGGUUUAUUAAGUCUCAGAGAGAAGCUUUACUAAAAUGUGUGGAACUUGCUGCACGUCGUUAUAAAGUGCCAUGGUAAGAUCUAUAAACACAUUCUGUUUCUUUAGUGUGGACUUUUUUUUUUUGGUUGAAAUAUUAUAUGUACAGCCCUGCACAAUAUCUAUCACAUAUAUAUUCCUUCCUAAAUUCUGAUUUUUAAGGUAUGCUGUAAAGAAUUUAAUUUAUGGCACAACAUCCUUGCAUGUACAAAAUAACCAUCUUACCCGAUGAACUGGAUGUAUAUCACCUUAAGACAUAGGUGGUUGUUCAUGUGUGUAGUGUUUCUUCAAAAAUCAGAUUUUACAUGAUAUAUAUGUAAAUUGAUAAUUUUGCAAGGUUACAUAGUGUAAAAGAUGUAGUUUAUUUGUUAGUAUCAUGCCAUUUCUAUGCUAUGUUAUUUUCAUUUCUUGUUUCUCUAUGUUAGCGUGUUUAAGUUGUCCAAUCUUCCUUCUUUUGUACUCUUUAAUAACAGGGCUCAGACUGUGAUUGAUAUAUUGGUUAAGCAUGCUUUCGACAACAUUGAUCGGUUCACGUGCCGACAACGAGAUGCGAUCGAGAAGCUGUGGGCUUCCAUAAAGGAACAACACAUACGGAGGAAGCAAGGGAAGUCGGUAACUGGGAAACUCGACAUGAAUGCUUUCGAAUGGCUUCAGGAGAAAUAUUCCCACGAGAAGAUCAGCAUCCGGCACGCUGUCGGCGGUGGCGGCGAGCGGCGGGCCGAGCAGUGGCUAGGCUAAUCACCUUUUGUUGAUUCAUUUGAUCAAAGUUUACGCCAAACUGAAGUUCGGUGUAUUCAUGUAUUCUGCGAAACUGAAAUUACCAUCCUAUGUGCAUGUAGCUCUCUCACUUCUCAACUUCCCGUUGAUGGGAAAUUUCAGCUGAUGUUGGUGUUCAUGGUUUAGCAAUUUUUCAUAUGAAUUUGGAGCUUUUAUUCAAAAAUAAGAACUACUGCUAUAGAGUGUCGGUGAAUCGGUAAAAUUCUCUCACAUUUUGGGCCUAAAUGUACGGCCCAUGAAAGUUUCACCAACAAUGGGCUCACCCAGUACAAUUGGGCCCAUUCCCAAAAUAAGCCUAAAUAGCUCUGCUCCCGAUGCUAACACUGUACAAUCGCGCCGCGCUCCUAUCGCCCUGCGCUGCGUUGCGUUCCGAUGGGCUCGGCGUUGCCGCAAACGCGCGCGCGAUGGCCCCCUGCGUUCCCGCCACCGCGAUUCCCACCUCCGCGCAUUUAAACUCCCUCUUCGCGCGCUGCGUCUCCUCGCUCCCCCUCCUCCGCCAACUCCACGCGCGCCUCCUCCUCCUCCACGGCCUCCCCCUCUCCACUGCGCUCGCCUCGCGCCUCGCCCACGCCUACUUCGUCUCCGCCUCCGCCCGCGAUGCGCGCCAUGUGUUCGACCAAAUCCCCCACCGAACCCCGCACGCGUGGAACACCAUGUUCGCCGGGUACUACCGCGCCCGCCUCCUCCCCGAGCUCCUGCUUCUCUACAAGCUCUCCCAUUCCCACAAUCACAGGCCCGAUAGCUUCGCCUUGGCCUUCGCCCUCCGAGCCUGUGCCGGCCUCUCUCUUCUCGGGCCGGGCUCGUCGAUUCACUCGCAGGCGAUCCGGUCCGGUCUCGAUGCGAAUGCGUUCGUGUCGCCUCCGCUGAUGAACAUGUAUGUCGAUUUGGGUUCUCUAGAUGAUGCAGAGAAGAUGUUUAACUGUGUUAAUGUGGCGGAUUCUGCUUGCUGGGGUCUCAUGAUGAAAGGGUAUUCGAGGGCAUCGGUGGAUGAGCAGGUCUUCGAUUUGUUUGGACGGAUGAAGGAAUUGAAGCUCGAAUUGGAUCCGUGCGCGGCGGUGUGUUUAGCUAGGGCUUGUGGGAAUAUUUGCGCCGCUAAAGAAGGGCGGGCGAUUCAUGGUUUCUGCAUAAAAACCAACUAUUUGGAUUGUAAUAUCUAUUUGAAAACUUCUCUGGUCGAUAUGUACGGGAAAAGCGGAUUCAUUGACUUUGCAUUGAAGUUGUUUGAUGAAAUGCCAUCAAAAGAUGUCGUUUCUUGGAGUUCCGUAAUCUCGGGAUUGGCCCAAUGCAGGAGAGGUUAUGAAGCGCUCCGAGUGUUUCGAGAUAUGUUAGAAGAGUCAAUAAUGCCAAAUGAGGUCACAUAUGCCAGUGUUCUUUUGGCGUGCGCUCACCUCGGAGCGUCGUUUCAAGGAAAGAGUGUCCACGGCUUUAUGAUCCGUAGUAAUAUUGAACUAGAUGUGGUUACUAACACUGCCUUAGUUGACAUGUAUGCAAAGUGUGGGUUUCCGUUACUGGCGUACAAGGUGUUUGGUAUUAUGCCCGUAAGGAAUGUCUUCUCUUGGAGCGCCAUGAUUGGUGCGUUCGGUGCACACGGAAUGUACUUGAGAGCACUCGAUCUUUUUGACGAAAUGAGGUCGGCGAAUCUCGCACCUAAUCAUGUCACAUUCGUUUCAGUGUUGUCGGCGUGCAGCCAUUCUGGUAUGGUUAAGGACGGGCGGAUCUAUUUCGAGUCGAUGACAAAGGACUAUAAGAUUACUCCGACAAAUGAGCAUUACUGUUGUAUGGUCGAUCUCCUUGGCCGAGCCGGGCUUAUCGAAGAAGCUCAAGCACUGAUUGAGGAAAUGCCAGUGAAGCCUAGUGCUAGUGUAUGGGGUGCUCUCUUGGGUGCUUGUAGAAUACAUAAGAGGGUAGAAUUAGCUGAGAAAGUAGCUGAGAAGCUCUUUGUUUUGGAGCCCAAUCAGCCAGGAGCUCAUGUAUUGCUUUCUAAUAUCUACGCUGCGGCUGAAAUGUGGGAGAUGGUCAAGAAGACGAGAGACGUGAUGAAUAAAAGAGGACUGCGGAAAACAUUUGGUUAUAGCACGAUUGAAGUCGAUAAAAUGGUCUACAUUUUUAAUGUCAUGGAUAGAAGAAACCGUAAGGACAACGAAAUUUUAGAGUUUUGGCGCGAGUUAAGUAACCAAAUGAAGGAAUUGGGUUAUGUGCCGGACUUAUCGUUUACUCUUCAUGAUGUUGAUGAUGAGAGCAAGGAAGAAGUGCUUUGCGGUCACAGUGAGAAGAUGGCGAUGGCUUUUGGGCUUUUGAGAACCAAAGAUGGUAUACCUUUAAGGAUAACGAAAAACUUGAGAGUAUGUGGAGAUUGCCACACUGCGAGUAAGUUUAUUUCUUUGAUCACAAAGCGGGAGAUAAUAGUGAGAGAUUCUAGGAGAUUUCAUCAUGUUAAAAAUGGUGUUUGCUCAUGCGGAGAUUAUUGGUGAUAAUUGAUAAUGUUUCCUUUUCUGCGUACAACAAAUUUUCUUCAGUUUUCAUCCACUCUUUGCACUUUAUAAGUAUAUAGCUCUAAAAUGACAAAAACUUUUGCCAAGUGUUUCAUCAUUUUGUUAUAGCUAAUGAUGUCUUAUUGACCAAUGACAUGUGCUUGACAUUUAUGACUUAAUGAGCUUCUCUUUCUUGGGAUCUCUCCUCUGUUAUUAUUAUUAUUAUUUUUUGCAGUUCCUUUUCUGUGCCGCUGAAGUGUAGUUAUGUUAAUUAAAUUGCAAAUUAAUUUCUUUGUGUUAUUUAACCUCAAGAAGCUCAUUAUUUACGUCUUUUUCGAGGCCUCAGAACCACUAAACAAGCUGCAAUUUCAUAUUGUGAACCAUCUUAUCUUUUCACCCUCGUCUCCGUGGAUAGUAAUAAACAACUCUUGGAUUAGUGCUUAGAUAAGUUACUUUGGAAGGAUUUAAAGUUGGUUAUAUAUUCACCCACAUUGCCCAUGCCAUCGUCGUGAUUUUACAAUUGGACCAUGAUAUAAGCCCUAAGUAUAACAAAUCCUUAUCAGGUGAUGGGUACCCUAACAUGAAGAAAGCUACACCUAUUAGUAGACCAUCCUAAGUGCGGCGUUCGGCGCGAAAUAUAUAGUUUAUUGGUGAUUACUCCACAAGUCCUCUUAUCUUAUUCUUAACCCAUAUCAUGAAGGCUAUAUAUAAACCCAGAAACCUUCAGAAGAUUUCAAAUAGGGCACCACAUAUUCAACCCCACCAUUAAUUCACUGUUCCCCUGAAACCAGACACUAUACCUUCCUUGUCCCCUGAUCAAAACUUGUAUAUAAACCCCUCUAAACCACUUCUUUUCAAAACCCAAAAGCCGGAUACUAAAAGUCUUUUAGAUGGCCUCUGGAGGUAGCUCUCCGUGUGGUGCAUGCAAGUUCCUCCGCAGGAAAUGCGCGACGGGGUGCAUCUUUGCUCCAUACUUUGGCGCCGACGAGGGACCAGCGCGGUUUGCCGCUAUCCAUAAGGUGUUUGGAGCGAGCAACGCGUCUAAGCUUCUUUUGCAGGUUCCUCUUGCGGAUCGGUGUGAGGCGGUAGUCACUAUCGCUUACGAGGCCCAGGCGCGGAUCAGGGACCCGGUCUACGGCUGCGUCGCCCAGAUCUUUGCUCUGCAACAACAGGUUGAUCUUUCCCUUAGCUAAUUCCUAUUAUAUCAUGUACUUAAUAUAAUUCAUCUAGACAAAUCAAUCUGAUAAGAAACGAUCAAGAAAUAAUUUCAACAUUUUUACAUAAUAUUCUUAACAGUACUGCAAAUUGAUGAACAAGUAAAUCAAUUUAUUCAGAUGUGGGUAAGAUUACAUACGCCUUACCGAUAGUGAUAAUGAAGAGCAAAAAAAAAAAGCUGUGAAAGAACUGUUAAUGAUAACCAGCUCCGGCAUUAGCAGAAGCUUUGUGCACUUGCUCACUUUUUCUUUUUUUAAAAUCUAAUAUUGCUUGUAAUAUAAUGAUAGGUGGCAUUCCUCCAAGCACAAUUGAUGCAGAUGAGAACUCAGUUGGCUUACGGCAUCUUAAAGUCGCAAUCAUCGGAGAAUCAGAUGCGAGAGAGUUGCGACAAUCCUCUACUCCAAUCUAUUCCUAGUCUGAAAACCAUGUGUUCAAAGAGGCCACUUGAUUACAUGGAUUAUAGCUCAGAAGGCGAACAAUUUCAGGAAAUGUGCUUUAAGCAGGAUCUUCCUUUCCAAUAUUCCAGCAAAAAGAUGACACCGCACAACGAGGCUGGGGAGCUCCAAACUUUGGCUCUGAGGAUGAUGAAGAGCUCUUACUCUUCCUAGCAAGGUUUUAUGGAAUUUCGAUGUAAAUAUAAUUACUUCAGCACUUCCAAUGUUUCCUAACGCAAGAUUCGAUUCAAAAGCAGUCGAUGACGCAUUUGUUUAGAUAAGAUAACAUCAAGUUGUAGUUUGCAACUAUGUGCCAUUGUGUUUUGUUAUUGCAAAUUUUGUUUUCAACAGCCAUUGCAACUUGAAUUUGAAUUUUUGGUUUGUUGAUAUGAGGUUUUUCUACUUCAAUGAUGAGAUAUGAUGCAUGUGAUGAUAUUGGUUAUGCAGUUAAUGACAUGGGAUCCAUAACUUGCGGGAUAUGAGGAUAUUAGUUACUAAAUAAACCUGCACAGAAUUAAUUGAUGUCCUAUGGUUUUCCACACUUGACAAGUUAUGUUAUUGUUGGAUAUAUAAUUUCAUAUGAGAUUUGAGGCUAAAAGUAAGUUCUUACAAGGGUGAUCAUAGGCUCUUUGUAGUCCCAUUCAGUGUCAUAUUAUGGGGGUAAAAGGCUAUCAAUAAUUGAAAAAUACCAGGGCUUUUUCCAAGUCUCAAACAUAUAUAAACAAAAUUUUCACUACAUUUAUGAUGAUAAUAUAUAACACACAUAACAUAAUAUAUAGGUCUCAACACUAAAAGAAGGAUUAAUGAAAUUGAGUAGCUCUAUGCAUAGUUACACCGUUUUAUUGAGACACGUGAUUGUCAUAUGCUGAAUUUUAAAGUUUCAAACUUGCGAGUCUUAAUGUGCAACCUCGGUAACAAAAAAAUAGUGAAAUACUAGACUCUGAUCGACGGAAUGAAAAAAUUUAAUCGGAUUAGUAUUUGGAGAGACCAAGUGCUGCAAUAAGUUCAUUAAUUGAUAAAAUGAAUAAAAGUACAUUAUAGAUUACAGAGAACAAUUCAAGAUAACUUACUAAACUUCUCUAAAUCCCAUACCGCAAAAAAAAGAGAAAAUAAUACUAAUAAUAAAUUGUGCAGUAAUUAUGUUACCGAGGAUCGCAUGUUCACACUUGAAAUCCUAGUAGUUUUUAAUGUGCAGAUCUAAAUUAAUGAAAAUUUUAACUGCUUCAUUCGAAACUCUUUUGACUUUCAACAUAUAAUAUUCUCAUGUUUCUAAAAAAAAUUAAGUUAAUAAAGAACUAGACGAAGAAAUUUAUAUACUGGGAUUGAUGUGGCCUAGGACAUAGCUUCUACUUUAUAGGUGGUCCUUCAAUAGGUGUUACGUGCAUUCUAGGAGAAUGAGGAGUUCAAGAAAUACUAGUACAAAAAAAAGUAUUCAAAAAAUACUAGGAAUUGAAGUUACUUUAUUUUUCCAAUGUGGUGAUGAUAAUGGUGACACAUUAUCUUGUAGGACUUCUUUUAUAGUGUUUGCAAAAUUUUUAUUUAAAUUUUGGUUGCUUCUUUAACUCCCAUCUGGAGUUUCUGCCGAAGUGCUGCACUGUUUUGUUUUGUUUUUUUUGUUUUUUUUUUUUUUUCAAAGAAUUUUUGAUGACUUGUCAUCGUGGUGAAGUGAAAAGCCAUUACAAAAACUGCUACAAUCACUUAUUUUUCGUCCACUAUGACGUAAUUUCUUUAUUUUGAUAAGCAAUUAAUGAAUCAGAAACAAAAAAAUCUUUUUUUUUUUUUUCUGUAGCAUGAAAUCAAAAUUAUGAUCAAUUUCUAAACCGUAAAACCAGAAACUCUUGAUAUUAUUUUUUAAAAGUUGGACUACUAAAUAUAUUACUAUUCACAUAUUUCUAACUUUUCAACUCUUGCUUCAACUAUUAUUCUACCUGCCACCGCUAAACAGUAGACGUUCAAUAACUAUAAAAUUAUUAGCAAGUGAAUGAUAAAUAUUUUUAGAAGUAUUUAAGCUCAACUCUACUUUUCCAAUAUCUAUAUCUAUAGAAGCACUUUCGCAGAAGCUCCGACCAAUCAAAUAAACCUUUAGUUCUGUUGCUCUUUUGGUCCUGCAUCAGUGACUUAACCAAUACACCUUGCCUUGGCCCUUGCAGUGCUUUUUUGUCUAAAGUGUGCAGGCCAUAAAACAGGUCAACAAAGCCAUUCUAAUAGUAUUAAUUGCCCCAUUAGUUACUUUAAUCAAUAGAUUACCUCAAAGUUCCCAUUAUUUGCUAAACUUUAUUUGUAUUAGACCCACUAAGAACAUCUUUAUCAAUACCACUGAAUCAUAAUACAAAGGAAAACAAUAAAACUCAAAAAUGAAGAGGCUAAGGUGAGUCAAAUUAAAUUAAGUAGCAAAUGGAUGUACUAAAGCCUAAUUUGUGAAGUGGAAAGUGAUCAAAAAGAGAGUCAACCAAGCACUUGAGUUGGUCUACUCCAACCAAAUCUGAUAUUUGUUAAUGAUAAUUUAAAAAAGACAAAAAAAAGGAAAAAAAAAAUGAUUGGAGUGAUCCUAGUGUACCCAGCAAUUUAAUUUUCCCCAACAGAGACAAAUUAUUAUUAUUUUUUUCAUAUUUUUAAUAUAUAUCCAAUUAAUAAUAAUGGUCGACACCAUCCACUAAUGAAUUAAACUAUUCCUUCAAAAAAAAAAAAAGUAUGCAAGCAUGAAAAGUACCUAAAUUGUUUUAGGGUGAGAAAUUUUUAUUUGCAAUUGUAUAUAAUUAAUCAUAGCAUGACACUGAUCCAAAGCUUAUUGGAUUUUAAGUUUUGAUUAUUCAUUGAUCCUAAUCGUAUUCGACCCAUUAUCAUUUUUUGCAUAUUUUCAUAUAUUUGUUGCUCAUAAAUGUGCAAAUUUUCCAAUUUUCAUAAACAUAAAAAAAUUACAAUAUGUAGUAAAAUGUAAGGCCAAACCAAUUGCAUGCGUAUAAACCUGAUUAUGAUUGUUAAGCUCAAGUUUAGACCUUAUUCACAUGUAUCGAAACAUUAAUUCAAUGGUUGAUUAAUGGGACAUUAAUUUCCUUAUUUGGACUCGGAACUGAGUAAGUUCAAGCUCAGUGAAUGAUUCAGAGGUCUCGAAUCAAACCAUUAUGUUCAGUGAACCGUCAUCGGGCUCGAACCAUAUGAGUAUUGAAUGUCAUAGAUCACCUUUUAUGGCCCGGCCCUUGCCUCUGUUCCAAAAUGUCACGUUGUUUCUGUCAAACCAAACCGUGCACCUGAUUAACUCUUUUUCCUUCUUCAUAUAUACAUCAUUAUCUUUCUUUAGUAUAUGAUGUUUUAUCUGUACCUCACUUAGGAAACAAUAUAAAAAACGGAUAUUUGGAAAAACACAAAAAAAAAAAAACACCACUAGUGAAUAAGUAAUCUAUGGUCUCUAAAUAAUCCUUGUGUAAUACACACAAAUGAUUUACUAGAUUAANCCACUAGUGAAUAAGUAAUCUAUGGUCUCUAAAUAAUCCUUGUGUAAUACACACAAAUGAUUUACUAGAUUAACCUUGCUUCUACAAGUUAUCGACUGUGAGAAUUCUUUUCUUUAAGGCUAGUUAAAGUGUUAAACAAAGAAUUUUAUUUUCGCAGAUGUUUUUAAUUAAUUUCCAUAGCGAGUGUCCCUCACUCCUCUUUUUUUUUAAUCAGUAAUGCGUAAAAUUUAAUAAACUAGAAAGAAAUUCUUGCCAAGUACUUCAUCUAAAUAGAUAGUUUCCUAUGAACUUCCUUUCUCUUCUUCUUCUUCUUGUUGAUGUUGUUAAAAUGAUAUUAUUUAGAGCUUAAGCUUUGAAAAAACAAAAAGGAUUAUUCACAAGUAUAUAUCUAUCGGAAUAGAGGGCCGGUCUUAAAUUCGAAUUCCACACGACUUCUAGUUCACUGUCCUAAAAUAUAUAGAGUAAUUUUCAUAUCAUCGCAUGAAUAAUCACCCACUCAAUCUAAUAAUUGCAAUUUUUUAUGUAUGGAAUCCGUUAAGUGCAUUGAAAUGAGAGGUGAUUGAUGAGGAAUUCGAUCACAACCUCACAUAAUAGAGGAUUUAAGAUAGAUUUUGAUAAUAAAGUGUCUUAUAAUUUAAAAAUCAUGUGUUGAAAUCUCUUCAUCAAAAAAGAAAAAAAGAACAGAAGCGGCAAAGAACUUGAUAGUUGGUAUCUGAGGUCUCAAGUUCGAAGCCUAAUUAUUUCAUAUUUUCAGCUAAUUUUAUUUUUAAAAAUAAUAAAUGAAAUGAAUAGCAUGCUACCUUUCCUCUGGGGAAAAAAACAAAAAAAAAGCAAAGGGAAAGCUAAUUUUGUUUAACAUAAACAAGUUAUUUUAAGGUGUCCUCCACACAUGGUUUCUGAGCAAUCCCCAAAUGCAUUAAAUUUUCCUCAUUAGCACCAUUUUGAACAACAAAAUCUAGAAUCUAGAUAAAUAUAUAUGAAUUGAACGAUCUAAUUUCUCUUGUAGUUUUUGCUUGACUAAAUGAUAGUACACACAUCCAACAAGUUGAACCCAACCCUUCUCUAACAAACAAAUAUAUAUGUAUAUAUAAUAUGUAGGGAUUCAUCAAUUUCUUGGAUAUUCGCUAGCUAGUUGGCAAAACUGCACCUAAAUUGAUCAUCGAUAGUUUUGCAUAGAGAAUCAUCACACACAUGCCCGACGAACUGAUGUCGUCGAUCGACUCAAUGACCGUUAAUAUAACCGAAUGCGACCGAUCGAAGAUCCUCACCCAUGGUGCAAUACGAUUUGUCAUCCAUGUCGAGAGAGACGUGAUCGCCGUUGGCGAACCACUGGGUACCGUUGCAGGCACGAGAAUCGUAAAAGGUGGUCGAAUCGAGAAGCCCGUUGUUGUCGAUGAAUAUGUUUUCGCGAUCGUUUGAGACCGAGGGUUGAGGCAUUCGAAGAUCCCCAUCCGGCGGAAACAAGAAGCCCUGCUCGUGACCGCGGCUUUGCGCCGCUUGCGCCACGAGAGAGCUCAGCUCAGCUUGUAGAUUCACCACCUACAUGAAAAGAAGAACAUUAAUUACACAUUCGUGAGCAAUACAUUCAGGGUCCCAAACCUUCUAAAAAAAGUUCACUUUAAUUUUCAAACUUUAAUUCGUUACAGUUGAGUUACAAAUUUGACGGUAAAUAUCACAUCGAAUUGAUUAGACAUUUUGUGAAUCUAGGCAUAGUGCAAUUUAUACAUGUACCCUCUCACUCACUUGUUGUUGCAAGGCGAAGAUGUGCGCGACACAGCCGUAGAUAGGGUCGCGGAGCCUGGCCUGAGCCUCGUAGGCGAUGGUGACGGCCGCCUCGCACCGAUCGCCGACGGGAAGGUGCAUGAGGAGCUUCGACACGUUGCUGGCCCCGAACACCUUGUGGAUCGCCGCGAAGUGCGCCGCCCCUUGCUCAUGAGCAAAGUAAGGGGCAAAGACACACCCCCUCACACACUUCCUCCUCAGGAACUUGCACGCCCCGCACGGCGAACCGAACCCCGCCAUCGCAGUUUCGCUACUUCUCUUUUCUCGUAGCCUCUCGAGAUUUCGAUGUUUCUGUAUAUUUCUGUGUCUUCUUCUUCUUCUUCUUCGUCCUUUGAUGAAAUAAACAUUUCCUCAAUUAUUAUUUAUAAGAUGUAGGAUGAGGAUGUGCAUGUAACACAUUGCUUUGAGUAAUUUAUUUGUGAUUGUCUCCUUAAUGGGCUACAUAUUUUACGUUUUUAAUUAUAUAUAUAUAUUUUUUCUUUUGCCAUGUAAUGACCCUCGUUGAGUCAUUUUAAUAAUUACCUUAUCUCUAUUAAUUUGUACACUCGUUUAAGAUUUUAUUUUAUUUUAAGGGACCCAAGCUAGAGACAAAAGGAGGUGACACUGACCCAACUGAUGAUCAUUAUGGUUGUUAAUUUAACUUAUUAAUUAUCCUUGUUUAUUUUGUGAUCUAAUUACUCAGCAAUUAAUUAAGAAGAAACUUUUGCUUUGUACAUAUUCUACCAAUAACAAUUUAUGUUGAAAUUUAACUGAUCUGUAUAUUCUACGAAUGAUAUGGUAGACCGGGUCCACGCAUCAAUUUCUUUUGUAGCAAAAUUAAGCUAUAAUUGAUGAAAUUAAUAAUGCACGUUCCUCAAAGCAAAUAGAUUAAAAUUAUAAGCGACCCUUUUGGGCCCAAAUGCAUGGGUCCGUGAGCGCGUUUAAUUUGGUCAAUAGGUUCGGCGCCGAAUCGGAACGAGACCAACUUUUGGACACGCUCGAUCGGGGUUGUAAUUUUGCAUGCAAAAGUAAUAAUAAUAAUAAUUAUUAUUUCCUGGAACACAUAUUUAACAAUUAAAAAAUUGUCACACGCACGAUUUGGAGUUUUUAUUUACUCUCUCCUCACCCUAAAAAAGGAGAUUUUUAUUUAUUUAUUUAUUUAUUUUUGGUGCUACGUGCAUGGUCCACCUACUAGAUUAAUAUUGUGUUUAAUUACUUUUCACAAACUUGUUCGUCCAAUUUGACAUGUAGUUAUAGUCCUAACACAUGCACUAAUCGUUUUCAAUUAACGUUGCGUGCCGCAUAUGCAUAGAACUCGACACGUGGACCCACCAAAAUUAAUUAUAAAGUACAAGUUACGCACCCACAUGCAGUGGAUUAAUUGUUAAGAAAUGUGCAUCAGCAUCAUACUGUAAUUACUUAUUAUAAUAAUAAUUAUUAGGCUCCUACUCCAAUUAUCUUUGCAUACAUUUUUAUCUUUGGACGCAUCCAAUUAACAAACCCUAGUUUUUUUUAAAAAAUUUUCCGUACACUAUAUAAGAUGUAAGAACAUUGACAUUAGUGCGAAUUAGCAUUGCAGUAUCACACUAUUGAUACAAAGACCAUAAACCAAAAUAUCAUUAAUCAAUAGUAACUUAAUUUGCUUGUUCAUUUUGGAGUAUACUUUACCUAAAAACAUAUUUUAAAAAUUAGAAAAGGUGAAAAAUGCUCAUUGCUAUUGCUCACCAGCUGUUUGGCCUAUUUAUUUGCCUGCCACCAUGAAAACAUGCUUUUUUUUACUUCUACUUCUUGAUUUGAUCUCACUUGUACCAAUUAAAAAACAACAUGCAUUUUUCCAUGAUAUUGAUCAUGGAGAAAUUUAUAAAGCUACUAUUGUUCGAAAAGCAUAUAAUAGGUGGUUGGUUGAAUAGUAUGAUUUAAUGGAUGAAAAUGAUUAAAAGGAUAGAUCUAAGGGUAAAAAAUUUACAAACACUAAGUGCUUGGUGCUUUUACAAGCACCAUAGCGCGCUAGACUAUAUAUAUAUAUAUAUAAAUAUAUACAACUCAUGCAAAUUAAUUUACCUAAAGUAUGCUUAAGAUAUAUGUAACACUCUUCUAGAGUACUAGACCUAGGGAUUCACAUACUCUCUCACUUCUUUGGUACAUAAUUAUACCAAUCUAAAGUUAAAGAUAUCUAAGUGGUAUCUUACUAAUCAUUUAUUAGUUUGGUGCAUUAGUAACUUCAAGGAAUUAAGCUCAACUUUGAAGAGUUUGAUCAAUUAUAUGUGCACUUGCACAUAUUUAUAUCUAUUUGUAGUAUGCUUAAUGCCGAUACUUUUUCUGGCAUCUAAACUUAAAUACUUUUUGAUAGGUUUAAACACAAACUCUAAUUAAAGCAGGAAGAGAUUAAAUAAGGUUAGGAGCACCAUGAGAUUUAAACUCCGAAGUUUUUAUUUUUAUGCUUUGUGAAACACAAAAUUACUCUAAAUUUGUGAGGCAACAGUAUCUUAAUUAUUCAUAUUCCACAAAUAUUAAUUAAGAAUAAUCGGAUAUUGCGUCGUACGUGUAAUUAAUUAAUUACAAGGCCGUUCGCGGUUGGUGGUCAAAUUUGGCAUUAUGUGAGAACAAAUAUAGAGGGAGGUGGUAGCAUAUAUAAUGACGUGUAAAACAACUAUACAAAUAAUAAUAUAUAUAAGUAUAUAAUCAAACAACUAUAUGUUUAAUAAUAGUAUAAUUACCUAUAAUAUAUAAUAAUAUAAUUAAUCAUGCAUCCAUCAAACUUUAUUCAUACAAGCUACAAAUCUUUCGAAGACCAAGCAACGCGACGGACAAGUCACGUGCGAGUCCAAAUGCACGUGCGUGCAUGCAUAUGAUUCGAACCCUCAUGCAUGUUCACGUGAUACAUAUGUGGGCUCUCUCAGCUUAGUUAAUUUCUGCGCGGAAAAAUUAGUCUCUGUUAAAAAAAUUUAGUUUAUGUGUAAUGUAAUCUAAGAUGGAACUUGAUUCAUUUGGUUCAAAUCAUUUGAUAUUUUAACUCAUAGCAUGUGCUCGAUCGACAAGUAAACUAUGUAGGAUCGUAGUUUCUCCUCGACCUACAUGGGACUCGAGAGCGAUUGCCAAACCACUCCGGGAGCAGAGACGGUCGCACAGUCGACGCUGCUUCACGACCACGGGACAUAACACGAUCACCUCGCUUUCGGUGCCAUGCAAGGUAUUUUAGGUGGCUUACUAAAUUAUUUUUAUUUCAUUUUACGUGAGAAAUAGGUCCUUAAAUUUGGAUUAAUUAAUUAGAUGUGGAUGUGGAUGUAUUUGUCUCGUACUGAGGCAGAUUUUCUAAGGCUAGGACCCUUACUUAUAUUCAAAUUAGAAAUGUUGGUUACAAAAAUGCAUGCAUAUAUAGUUCUUCAAGUGGAGGUGAUUGUGAUGGCUUGGAGUUUGCAGAAGCACUUUAGUAAGAAGCCACUAGAUCCUUAGAAUUCAAGUAGCUACAUAUGCGGAGAUUAGUUGGAGAAGCUAUAUGUAUAUAUAUAGAGAGAGAGACAGAGAGAGAGAGUGAAAGAGCGCUAGGCUGGUAUACUAUCGAUAGCAGAGAAGUCUCCGUGCUAUUAAAUUUUUUCAAUAACGUAGCUUCCAAAUUGACGACCAGCUCCGUUAGACUUGAUCUAUAUUAUUGAAAGUAUUUGAAAAUUAAAUUUCAUAAUUUUUCGAUAUUAUUUAGCUAAUCAUGAUCCAAAGGUCUCAAAAUUGAUAAUUUUAAUGGUUGAUGUGAUGCGUUUGUGAAUUUAACGGUAUAAAACAAUUCAAAUCUGAUAAAAUAUUUAUAAAAAAUUCUUUGAUAUAUUUAGAGUAAAAUUAUUAUUUUUAAUUUUAAAUUCAAGUCUUUUAAUAGUGUAAAUCAAGUCUAACGAAACCGAUUAUCCAUUUGAAAGUCGCAUUAUUAAAAAUAACUUGGUAGCACGGAAACCUUCGUGCUACCUAUAAUAUAUCUGCCCCACUCUAGGACUCUCUCUCUCUCUCUCUCUCUCUAUAUAUAUAUAUAUAGAUGACUAUUUGCAUAGCUCAUAUAUAUAGGUCCUUGACUCGUGGGGUGAUGGUGUAUACAUAAAUAAAAAAAUUAAAUGGUUCAUUAAUUAUUUUGUUUAUGCAUUUUGAUUACGCGUGCGGUGUACGAAACACGUAGGAGGAAAGAAAAGAAGAGCUUUGUCUCUUCGGUAGAUAUAUUAUAUUAUACAAUGAAUUAUGAUAUAUAUACUAAAAUUAAUUGUAGGACUUGAACAAGGCACAUGCAUGGAUGUGGUGGCAUCCAAUAUAUUUCUCCCAUAUAUUUUUUUACAAACAUUUACUCGUAUCAACGAAAAUAUUCAUACCAACUAUGUUAAGUACUUUUGAACUAGCUAGAUCCUGUAAUAUUGUUCCUAUUGUAGAUUGUGUAGCAUUUUACGAUGCUUUUAACAUUUGUGCAGAUUGAAAGAUAACGGUAGAAAAGAAUACAUUUAAGAAGAACAUUCUAAUAGGAUGUACCACUGCAUUUAGCUUAAAUAUGAAUUUGGUUAGGGCUUGUUGGUCGCUACUGUAAGGUGCAGUCCUACAGCAAAAGGCACAAGAUCGAACUUAGAAUUGUUUUUCUCUAGGGCUCGAUAUUACAUUUCGAUAUUAUAUUUUAUAUGUAUAUAUAUACACACACACACACACCGUAGAAACAAAAGCGGCGCCAAAUUAGCCUAUCAAUUGCCACAAAAUGUUCAAGUGAUCCCUUUUAGCCCAAAAACAAGAUUCAAAUAAUGAUGGGUCUUAAUUAGCGGGCCACGAUCCAAUCACUUUAUUUGGACUUGGUGGGCCUUAUCCUAUUGUGUUGACUUUAUUUGGACUUGGUGGGCCUUAUCCUAUUGUGUUGAAUGAGAUCCAAUACUAUAUAUAUGCUGUAACAGAGAAAUGCUUUAAAUGGAUCUUUCAAAAUAUAGCACUUACUAACUAAUAAAAUCCAUUAAGUUAUAAGUCAUCGACAAAGUUGCGGUGCGUAUUCUUCCAAUUACCCAGAACAAAAAGACAAAAAAUUUGAUGGAACUAGUCUACAGUCAAUUUGAUAGACCGAUUCCACCAAAUAAUCUGAGACUUGGAAACUACUGAAAAUAUGGUACCCAACUACUACCUCUCCUCGCCACUAAUCAAAAUUUAGUAUUAAUAAAUAAUUUACAAAUAAACAAUUUAGUAAAACAAUCAGUAACUGUAUUAAAUAUAAAUUAUUUUUAACAAGUAGAAUUGAAGAAUUAAGAAUUUAUAACUAAUAGCGGUAAUAAGAAUUUGAUCAGUAGUAAAGAUCGUCAAAUACUGUAAAAAAAAAAAAGUUGAAACGAAAAUAUAUAGAAAUAUACUCAUCUAUUUUUAAUUAAAACAUUAAUUGCUUCUGAAAAUAAACAAAAUAUUUGUAAUUGUGCUUUUUCAUUGGUGUAAUGGAGUCAGAGAUAGCUUUGAACUUAAUAAGGUAAAAUGAUGUAAUCAUUUUAAGGAGAUGGUAAAUAGAAAAGAAUAAUGAUAAAUUACAAACACUGAUUACAAAACGAGCUACAGUUGAGGGGCCUCCAGUCACAUUUUGAAUGCUGACAUUAUUCAAGAAAUUAGUGCGUUAGGUAGAUCCAUCGUCUUGUUAGUUGCUAAUUUCUCCGUGGCGUGGAGAGAGAGGGAGAGAUCUCUCCCUCUCCCUCUCCCUCUCCCUCUCCUCUCUCCCAUCCAUGGCGUCUCCGCCGCCCCCAAUCCGAAUCCUCCGCCGCAUCUCCAUCUCCCCUCCGGCGUCCUCCGCCGCCGCCUCCCUCCCCCUCACCUUCUUCGACGCGGCGUGGCUCUUCACCGGGCCCAUCGAGCGCCUCUUCUUCUACGCCCUCCCCCACUCCACCUCCCACUUCGUCGCCCACCUCCUCCCCCAACUCGCCUCCUCCCUCUCCCUCGCCCUCCUCCGCUUCCCCCCUCUCCUCGGCCGCGUCCGCCCCGCCGGCGCCACCGCCGACGACGUCGACUUCGCCUUCGCCUUCUCCUCCUCCGACGACUCCGUCCCCCUCACCGUCGCCGAGAGCUCCGACGACUUCGACGCGCUCUCCAGCCCCGGCCCCCGCGACUUCGCGAAUCUCCACGCGCUGAUCCCCCCACUGCCCCGACCCGGCGACGGCUCGAUCCCGCUCACCGCCGUGCAGGUCACCGUGUUCCCCCGCCGCGGCGUCGCCCUCGGGAUCGCCAUCCACCACGCGGCGUGCGACGACUCGAGCUUCCUCCACUUCGUCAAAUCCUGGGCCGCCGCGUGCAAGCUCGGCGGCGCGGUCGGGCUCCCGCUCCCGCUCCCGUUCCCGCCGCCCCCCUCCUUCGACCGCGGGGCGAUCCCCGAUCCCGCGGGCCUGCGCGCCAAGACCCUCGCCGAGCUCACCCGACUCGCGGCCCACGGCCCGCCUCCGCCGGAGCCCGAACCGGCCCGGCCCAACGCGGUCCUCGGGUCGUUCUGUCUGGGCCGGGCCCAAAUCGAGCAGCUGAAGAGGGGCCUGGUGGCGAAGGCCCGGGAGAGCGGGGCCGCGGUGCACUGCUCGUCGUUCGUGGUGGCGUGCGCCUUCGCGUGGGUGUGCCUGCUGAGGGCCCAGGAAGGGCACGCGGCCCAGGAGGAGAGGGCCCACUUGCUCUUCUCCGUGGAGUGCAGGGCCCGCCUGAGCCCGCCGAUCCCGGCCGAGUACUUCGGCAACUGCCUGCGCCCGUGCUUCGUGGAGGCGGCGACGGAAGCGCUUCUGGAGGAGGCGGGCGGCGUGUCGGAGGCGGCGCUGGCGAUCGGGGAGGCGAUAAAGGGCCUGGAGAGGGGCGGGGUGUUGGAGGGGGCGGAGGGGUGGCUGGGCCGGAUCCUGGGGCUGGUCCCGGCCCGGCCCAUGUCGGUGGGGGGAUCGCCGAGGUUUAGGGUUUACGACGCGGAUUUUGGGUGGGGGAGGCCGAGGAAGGUGGAGCUCCUCUCCAUCGCGAAGACCCCCGGGACGAUCUCGCUCGCCGAGAGCGGCGCCGCCGCCGGGGACGACGACGCCGACGCCGGGGNCAUUGUAUAAUUCUUUAAUUCUUAUGUGGAGAAUGUUCAAUGUUGUGUGUUUUGAUUUUAUCGGUUCUUUUAUGUAUUGCUGCAUAGAAUAGGGGUUUUUUUUUUUUUUUUUGUAUUGCACAGUGUGCUUAAAAGUGAGAUGUUUUUCUUAUUUAAAAAAAUUUUUUUUAUAUAUAUUAUAUUAGAAAAAUUUAAACCCGUAUUUUUCCUUAGUGAAGUGAGGCUGUAAAUUUUCGCGUAGAGUGUCCUCGGCAUCUUCGAAGACCCUCUUCGUCUCCGCCUUGCAGAGGUAGAGCACCGCCCCCUCGUGCUGGGGCUAGAGCUAGGGGGGCCGCAGCCGCAGCAGCAGGGGCCGCCGCCGCGGCGAGAGCCGCUCGCUCUAGCAGGGCCCCCAGAAGCGCUACCUCUCCUCGAGGUGGAAGGAGCCGGAGGGGGUGGGUUUUAGGCGCAGCAUUUGGGAUUUGGAGCCGCUAGGGGGGUGGCUGUACCCGGCCCGGCCCUGGUCGGGGUCCUAGGCCGGGUCGGUGGGGAGGCGGGGGAGGUUGUGAAUAAAUAAAUAAAUAAAUAAAUGAUCAACAUUAUUAUUGAUUGUAAUUAAGUUCUCAUUAGCUUCUAUUCGUUUAGUUUUAUUAUUAUAAUUACUUUCGUCCAUUUCUAAUGGCAGCUCUAAUUUUAUUAUAAGUCAAAUUAAUGAAUAUUAUAUUGUGCUAAAUUUAAUUAAAUUUAUUAAGUUAUUAAAAAUUUAAUUUAAUAAAUUUAUUCAGCAGCAUCAAUCAAAAAUUCAAAACUAAUAUAUGCCUAUAGUUAGGCCCUGUUUGGAUGGUUAUUUUUUUGGAGUAAAGUAUAAUUAUGCCAUGGGUAUAGGAAAAAUAUCCUAAGAGGUGUUUGGAUGCUUCAAAAACAUCCCAACAAAAUAGGGUAUAGUUAAACUAUACCCUAAAAAACAGGGUAAAACUAAAAUCCAAUAUUUUCUCUGGAAAAAAAGUUACGCCAUUUUUUUCGGACCGCAUCCCAGCUCGCUCGACUCCUCUCGGGCGUCUCUCUUCCUUCCGUUGCCCUCUCCACAGUUUUCUCCCUUCGCUGCUGCCGCUCUCACCUCAACCGCCGUCGCCGCCGCCGCCGCCGUGGCGGCCACCGCCGCUGCCCCUCUGGCCCUUCUCGUCCCUCGCCCCUCGCCCCUCUCGUGGAUCUCGGCCACCGCCCCUCGCCCCUCUCGCCCCUCACCCCUCUCGCCCCUCUCGCCCCAGUCGCCGCAGCCGCCGUCGCUACCGCAGUCACCUCGGCCGCCAUUGAGUUCUUGCCUCAGUCUUUUCUCACCGACGCCAUACCCUCAUGACCCGUCCCCCAUCGUCCCUCGCCUUGCGAUGGCCAGAGAGGCGCCACCCCACUUUCCUCCUCCAACAGGCAAAGAAGGAGUCGUCAAAUUUUUUGUUUUCCCAAUAGAUUCCAUUUUGAAGGAAUCAUCAGAUUUUUUUUUUUUUUGGUUUUUUUUUUCUUUCCAAUAGCUUCCAUUCUAGAAAGCUAAGAAACCAAACUUUAAUUUGAUUUCUGUGGAAUCUUCGGAUCAGCAAGUUUUUGAUUCGGAUCUAAGAACUGCUCUAUGUUUUUAAUUUAGAUUGUUGUCAUAUGUGUUUAGUAUAAUUUAGUAGAAAAUAUUGCUCCAGUAGAACAUUUUUGCAAUAUCUUUUAUGUGAAUAACUUAGGUAACCGGUAAUUCCAUUUAGCAAUUUAAUUGCAUCUGAGAUAAGAAUUGCAAAACGGAAAGUGUGUUUUCUACUCCGAAAGAAAAAAUAGCCAAUACAAAGAUAUAAUUAGAGAAUUUAUAGAGAAUUUUUGUGUUCAAUGUAAGCUAGAUGGUCAAUUUGUGUUCAAUUUGUGUUCAAGAUGUAAGCCCUGUAGAAGCUAGAUGGUCAAUUUGUGUUCAAUGUAAGCUAGAUGGUCAAUAUGUUUAGCCCUGUAGAAGCUUCAGUUUGUGUUCAAUUUAUUCCUUUUGUAAUUAUUUUGUUCAUAUUUGUAUUCAUAGUUAAUAAUUUAAAUUUAAAUUUUAAACUUUUAUUUUAAAUUUUUAGAUUUUAAAGUUAUUUAAUAGUUAAUAAUUUAAGUUUAAACUCCCAAGGAUAAUUUUUAAAGAUUAUCAGAAAUCCUAUAGAAUUAUAUAAUGUGUAUCCAAACAGCUUUUAAAAUAAACCCGUGGAAUUUUUUUGGAGUUACAGGAUACUCAAUUUCAUUUGAACCAAAACUACGGUAUUUAAACUCCAUGGAAUUUAUUUACUGCUCAUCCAAACAGGGCCUUAGUGUGCUAACGCCCGUUAAUUUCCCUUAUGAUGGCGCCAACGGCUUUUGACGGCGAAACCGCUACUCCUCCCUCCUACUUUCUCCCCGAAAAUGUACCCAAGCAUCUCCCGCUAGGGUUUUAGCCAAACCAAACCCUAAUCCCAAGUAUCCCUCUCCUCUACCUCCCACCUCCCACCUCCCCAUCGCCAUGAUAGGAGCUUCUUCUCGUCGCCUCCUCCUCUCCACCCUUCUCAAAUCCAAACCCUUUCUCCGAAGCCUCCCCAAACCUCUCCUCUCCUCCUCCAUUCCCCCUCCCCAUUCCCCUCUCUCCUCCUCCGCCAAAACCCUCUCCUUUCCCCUCGUAAACCCCCGUUUCCUCCACCCCUCGCCUCGCGCCCUCCAAACGUGUUCCCAAAACGCCCCUCCCCUCUCCCCUCGGCAGCGGAAGCUCCAGGAAAAAUCCGACCUUGAGGAGGCCUUCGAAUCCGCGACCAACACGGAGGAGAUCUUCGGCGCCUUUGAAGCCCUAGAGUCCGCUCUCGACCCCAGCGACAAGAAGCUCGGCCUCGCGUGCUUGAAGGUAGGGCAACAUCUCGAUGCGACCGGCUCACCAGACCACGAAAAGGUCCUCAAUUUCGGCCUCAGAGCCCUCCGUAUCCUCGAUUCCGGCGGCGAAAGCUCCGUUUCGGUGGCCAUGGCGCUUCACCUGGUCGGUUCGGCCUGUUUCGAGCUGAAGCGGUUCAAUGAUAGCCUGGGGUUCCUUAACCGGGCCAAUCGGAUUCUUACUACCUUAGAAAACGAGGGUUCCGGUGAUUUUGAUGUCCGCCCGGUGAGCCAUGCGGUUCAGCUCCAGCUUGCCAACACGAAGACCGCGAUGGGACGGAGAGAAGAAGCCCUAACUAACCUCAGGAGGUGUUUGGAGCUCAAAGAAUCGAUUUUGGACCCCAAUAGUCGCGAAUUGGGUGUCGGAUAUCGGGAUUUGGCCGAGGCGUAUGCUGCGGUUUUGAAUUUCAAAGAGGCUUUGCCACUUUGUUUGAAGGCUUUAGAGAUUCAUAAGGCACAGUUAGGGCUCAAUUCGGUGGAGGUGGCCCAUGAUAGGAGGCUUCUCGGGGUUAUUUAUACUGGUUUAGAGGAGCACGAGAAGGCAUUAGAGCAGAACGAGCUCUCGCAGAAAGUAUUGAAGAAUUGGGGAAUGGAUUCGGAUCUUUUACACGCGGAAAUUGACGCCGCCAACAUAAAGAUUGCUUUGGGGAAGUAUGAAGAGGCCGUUAACACUCUGAAGCGGGUGGCCGAACAAUCUGAGAAGGAGAGUGAGACGAGAGCUUUAGUGUUCAUUUCGAUGGCGAAAGCCUUGUCUAACCAAGAGAAGGUUGAGGAUUCAAAGAGGUGUUUAAAAAUUGCAUGUGGAAUUCUCGAAAAGAAAGAAUUAAUCUCCCCCGCCAGGGUUUCCGAAGCUUACGUUGAGAUAUCAUCUUUGUAUGAGGCUGUGAAUGAGUUUGAUACAGCUAUAUCACUCUUAAAGAAGAGUCUUUUUAUGCUUGAGAGGCUCCCGCAAGAGCAACACAUGGAAGGGAAUGUGGCGGCGAGGAUAGGGUGGCUACUUCUCUUGACAGGGAAGGUGGCAGAAGCUGUACCUUAUUUAGAAAGUGCUGCUGAGAGAAUGAAGGAGAGCUUUGGGCCAAAGCACUUUGGGGUGGGCUAUGUAUAUAACAACCUGGGCGCAGCUUAUAUGGAGAUGGACCGGCCUCAAUCGGCUGCGCAGAUGUUUGCUCUCGCAAAGGAGAUCAUGGAUGUCUCCUUGGGCCCGCAUCACACAGAUUCGAUUGAGGCUUGUCAGAGCCUCGCGAAUGCUUACGCUGCAAUGGGAAGGUACUGAUUGAUUAUCAUUUUAAACUCAAAGUUCUGAUUUAGUGUGAUUUUUUUUUUUUUCCUGAGGAAAUGGAAUUGGACCAGUAACUCUGGGAAGAUUUGCAAUGAAUGACACAAAAUGUCUGGUUGGGUCUUUGUAGUGUGAUAUUUUCGAGGCGAAAAAAUAAGCCAACCAACUUAAGCUUGAUGAUUAGGUCAAAUUAACUUUGGUCAGCAUUCAGCUUCUUUUACAAUAUGGUCUGAAGUCUUGAACUCAUUUUACCACUGGUGCAAAAAUUUGAGUCGUGAAAAAUAAAGCGUAGAAAAUGUAUAUGUAGAGUUAUAGUUCAUAAGAAAGAUCGUAGAUCUGAAGUUGUCCCCACAUGUCAUGUGCAUCUCCUCAUAUAUAGAUUACUUUCUUAUGCCGGACUUUAUAUGCCAAAACAUCUUUUUAAGUCAAAUGCUCAAGGUUGCUUAUUUUCAUGAUAAUUAUUUUCUAAUUUUCUCUUUUUUUAGUUUUUCAUUUCGUUGUAGCUAAUAUUGUCAACAGGUGUUGGCUUUUCUUCUUUCAUCUGUUGGAGACUAUCAGUUUAACAUUUUAAACUUGUUCAAUAGUUUCAGCCAAUACUUCUACGAGAGCAAACAGUCUAACCUUUCCUUUUGGGGCAAUAUUUGUAUGGUGAUUAAUGUGGUGCCUUUCUAAGUGCAGCUAUGCCCUUGCUUUGGAGUUCCAAAAACGAGUCAUCGAUGCAUGGGGAAACCAUGGCCCGAGUGCAAGAGAUGAGCUAAAAGAAGCUAAUCGACUCUAUGAUAAGCUUAAGAAAAAGGCCUUUGCAUCUCUGUCUGGUGCAGUUCCAGAGGAAGAUUCAGUGACUCAGCGUGAGGGAAGUGACACUGAUCCUCCCAAGAUGAUGCAUCAAUGAUGCCGGAGGUAAACUUAAGGUUACAAUUGGAGAUGCGUAGAUUUUCGUGCUAGUCUAAAUCUAUCCGAUGGAUUGAAAGAGAAUUCAACACACUUGUCUUUCACCUAAGACUAUGUUUCUAUAGUCUUGCAUAGCCUGAUAUAUGAUUGAUUUUUGGAUCAAGAAUAAUACCAUGUUGAAGAUUGAUUUUUGAAAUUGUUUGUGAAUAUAGUUUGGAGUAUUGAUCUUUACCUUGUCUCCUCUAUGUAGUAGUCUAGUUUCAAUUUUGCAUCCGGCGAUUUAAAUUGUAAGCUAUCCUCCGUUUAAUGUUCUUGCUUCUUGAUAAGAGUUUGCCAUUAAAAUGUUGUUAAAAGUAGGCCCAUGCAAUCACAUGAGAAAACAAAAUUCACUAUCUUUUUAUACAUAGGGAAAGAUUUCUUGUUCCAUAUCUAACUGUUUGACAACCGUGAAUUUCGAGUAACUGGCCAAGCUGCUAAAGUUGCUAAAGUAGUGAUAAAUCCUGUCAGUAAAAUGGGUCCUAUGGAAAGUCCAUCGAUUCCUAGUCUCCAGUGGAAAUCAAAAACAUCUAUCCAUUUAGAAUCUUCCUUCAAUUGCAUUAAUGGAUCAUCCAAUUGGAAAUGAUAACCGAAUGCAUAAGUCGUUAGAAGGAGUUCUAACAAGCAUAUACAUAAAGUAUACCACCUAAACAUCUUAUUCCCUCUAUGAGGGAAAAAGAAAAUUGAAGAACGGUUGGUACUUGGUUUUAUCUUCUCGAUUAGUGCUCAAUAAAAGGAACCAAUUGUUAUGAACAACAAAAUGGUUAUAAGUGCCGAAAAGCCCGUCCUCAAAAUAAUAUAUUUUGUUGAGCACGGGCUUUUGUCGGUAAAGAGGAAUCACAAAUGAUUCAAGUGGAGUUUUUUGUAACGUAUCAAUAAGAUAGAGCCAUGCUGCGAGUUGUUUCAGGCCCUAAAUAAACACGGACACUCAAAAAAUCUGUUGGGCAGGCGGAUUCACAUCUCUUACAACCUACACAGUCCUCGGUUCUUGGCGCGGAAGCUAUUUGCUUGGCUUUACAUCCGUCCCAAGGUAUCAUUUCCAAUACAUCUGUGGGGCAAGCUCGUACACAUUGAGUACACCCUAUACAUGUAUCAUAAAUUUUUACUGAAUGUGACAUUGGAUCUAUAAAUUCCAGUUUUGAACAUAAAAAAUUUUCGAUCUNGUAACAUCGGUCCUGAUAAACCCCAAUUUACAGCUUCUUCUCCAACAAUAAUGCCCACCCCUUCCACUUGUUCCAAAAAAUGGGAUUCCAUGUAAUAAGUUUUUGAUAUUCAACAACUCCUGUUAAAGAAUAAUCGCAGAAAUCCAAACAUUUAUCUAUCCAUCCAUAAGGUAGAUCAGCAGCUACUCCUCCGAUAUGGAAAUAAUUAUGCAUCAUUCGCAUGCCCAGUAGGGAAAUCCCAAUUCAGUGGGCCUUUUGAUGCAAUCAAAUAGAUUGGCACAAGGGCGCCAUAUUCUAGGAGCCCAAACUAUGUGAUUGAAUAAAUCCUCCUCUAUCUGUUUUACAUGAAAUGGAUAUAUUCGUAUCUUUUCUUUUUGUAUAUUUUUGACUCAUAAAUAUGAGAUGAUAAAAUAUGACAAAAGCUAUACCAAGAAUUGGUUUACAUAGGAAUGGGCGUAUUGGUUCACGUAAGAAUGGGUGUAGAAUACCAAAAGGCGUAUUGGUUCACGUAAGAAUAGGCGUAGAAUACCAAAAGGCAUUAUUCAUGUUCAAGCGAGUUUCAGCAAUACCAUUAUAACUGUUACAGAUGUACGAGGUCGGGUAGUUUCUUGGGCCUCUGCUGGUACUUCUGGAUUCAAAGGCACUAAUAGAAAAUUUUGGGACAAAAAAUGAAUCCACUUAGUUUCAGACUUGGUACAACUCAAAGUCAUCAUUCCUUUUGGUUCACACAGCCAAAAAAUUAUUCCCGGAUCUACGAAAAAAAAUCAUUGGCUUAUCAAAUUAUCUAUCGAGCCGUGAAAAAGAUUCAACAAAAGAUAGAAACAAAUCCACUAUCUGUUUUACGUCAAGCAAUACGUGGAGUAACUUCCGAUGUAGCAGUAAAAGCAAGACGUGUAGGCGGAUCGACUCAUCAAGUUCCUAUUGAAAUAGGAUCUUCAUAAGGAAAAGCAUCCCGAAAGCGGCCGGGUCGAAAUAUGGCUUUCAUAUUAAGUUCCGAAUAAACCGGUUACUGGUACAAAUAACAUAAAGAAAUGUAACCAACGUUUAUUGAAAAAAGCAACCCCAAAGAUUUGGGACCAAAAGCCACAAAAUUAAAUAUUAAAUAAUGGUAGAUUGGAAAUGAAAGUCCUUUUCUCGCAUUCGUUCUCUAUUGCAUUGGCGGAAGAACAAAACAAUAUCUGAUUCUGAAAUCAAGGAAAGAUAUUGAAAAAUAGAUUUUCGAAAUAAACUUUGGACAUCUAGGGGUAAAGUUCGGUGCUGGCUGCGAGAGCGGUACCAAAUCGACGCAAACUCUGACUACUGGAUGUGACCCAAAAAUAAUAGGUGUCAAGGUUAGCUAGUGAGACGAUGGGGAAUAAGCUUCAUCGUCGAGAGGGAAACUGCCCGGAUCUUCGGAGAAUCCAGCUACAGGAGAACCAGGAACGGGGAGCUCCCCCUUUUUUUCCGCCCGACUUUUUGGUCUUAAGAAUACUGGUUUUAAGAAUGAGUGAUUGCGCUUCUCUGACCCUUACUGCCCAACAGAAAAAAGAAUUUCUUUUUACUAAUAAAAGUUUCAAAAGAAAAAACAAGAUGGAUCAUUAAAAUACUUCUAGUUUUAAAACGAAUAAUGAAGGAAAUUUAAAAAGUAAACCCAAUAUUCUUAUUUGAAUUGAGCUCGGCUUUUAAGUGCGAUUAUGAUCUUUUACACAUUUGGAUGAAGCAACGAAUUCGUCCAGAAUAUUGGUAUAGUCUAUAAGACCACGACUGAUCCUCAAGGGUAAUGAAUAAAGAUUUACCUCUGUAGAAAGACUGAUUCAUUCGGAUCGACGUGAGGGUCAACUCCAUUGCAUUGCCUGAAUCCAUGUUGUAUAUUUGAAGUGGUUGACCUCCUUGUUUCUCGUAUGGUACAACCCAAAGUCUCAAAUUCAAGAUCUUCUGCUGCACGGAUUUCUUGGGAAACGAAGUCAUAGGCACGUAGGUUCAGAGCCAGACCGACUACCCCAAUAGCACUCAUCCAUAAACAGGUUACUGGUACAGAUAACAUAAAGAAAUGUAACCAACGUUAUCCGGCUCUACCCAAACUUUUUUGGUUCACCCCAACAUUACCCACUUGUCCGACUGUUGCUAAGCAGAAUUGGACCAGUUUCUCCUCAACAAAUAAAGGCUUGGGCCAAUAAAAUCCUACCUAGUGGAGAGAUAGUUGGAGAGGUGACAUAGAUCAAGAAAAGAAAUAUUUGAACUAUGAUUCAUACCUACUAUUUGUUCAGACCUCGCAACCGGACUCAAAAAAAAUUCAAAUAGGUAUUUCCUAAAUCAAACGAAUUUUAUUCCUUCAGAUUUAUUUUGACCGAAGGAUAACUCUUUCUCUAGAGUUAUAAGAACCAGUAAGAUUAAGGAAUUAAAUCCUUAUUCGCAGUGCUUUUAAUGAGAUAACUAGCAUGUCAAACACAGGCAGUUUCAUGUACUGUAGUACAAAAAUUUUAGCUAGUUUUAUUCUUAAAGCCUUCCGCCACAUGCUCUUGGUCGCCUAUAUUGGUGAUAAAAGAUGCAAAGAACUCUUUGUAGAGGAAGGAUCUGUAGAGUGGAGGGUUCUUCUCAUUGAUCAACGCCGGUGCUGGAGAGAUGAGGCUAUCCAUAGUAGGUGCGAUGAACGAGGCAAUUGUUGUUCUUGAGGCUGUUUUGUUGGUCACUGCUCGGUGCUCUGCGCUCUUCAUCAUUCCAUUAGUAAUUAUCUGAAUAACCAAUAGAGAGCAUAUAAUUCAUUCUUAGCUAAGAUUGCAUCAGCUUACUAGGAAUAGGUUUGGCCGAUAAGGAUAUAGAGGUUGAAAGCUUAUGUGUAUGCAUGAUGGAUGCUUUACGAGAUACUGUUAUAAAAUUAAUAGUGUGCAGAUAAAGAGAUUGAAUACAUGAAAUCAAGGGGAUAGAUUUCAACUGUGAAGUGUUUCUGAAUUUGUUUGCAAGAGUAUGAAAGCUGAAGGUAAUCUUAAGUUUGAUGUAAUAUACCUCUAACUGUUCCCCGAAAUUCACGACAAAAGCACCUGGAAUAGGCUCCACUCCAAUCCAGUUCUCCUUAUAUAAGACUUGUAAGCCAUUAACUUUUCCUUGAAGAAGAAUAGUGAUGAGAUUCGGGUCACAGUGUCCAGGCACACCCAAAGUUAAACUCGGGUCUGGACAUGGCACGUAGUGGUUCACGCUCGUGACAAGUCCACCCCCACUGAGCUCGCCGUCGAAGUACCCUUCGUCAAGCCUUAGUCCUUCGCAUAUGAGCUUCAACAAUUUUAAAGCUACACCUCUCACCUCCAUUGUAUAUACCAGGAGAGCCUCCCUGCCAACAUGCCCGGAUGCCUCAUUUACAAUGUGUUACUAUGCGACAGCGCAAUUAGUGUCUGUGCUGCUUUCUUUUUAAAAGUACUCUUUUUAUUUAUUUAUUUAUUUUAAAAUGAGCAACUGCUUAACGCUAAAGCAGGAAGUCAAAAUGAGCUUCCAAGAUUUAAAUCGACUCUUCUGAUUUAAAUCCUCUGAAUCUAAGCUUAACAAGCAGGAAUUGGUAAUAGUUGGUCCAAUCUGAAACUUCUCUGUCAUUUUGGAUUUUCUUUGAAUAGCUGUACUUAAAACAACAGGUGUUCAGGAUCUGUACAGGCCUAAAAACAUGAGAUGAAACUCUUAUUUGUGAUGAACAUGAUUAUAAACUAUUGCCUGAUAUGUUGAAGAAUUUAUACCUAAAUUUUCUUGGUUUUUCAGGCCACGUAUGCAUGAAAUUUUCUGUAGGGUAGCAGGCAAGCUUUAGGCAAUCUCUCCAAUAUGAAACCUCCUCAUGCUCUUUUCCAGGGGCGCUUGUAUGAAGCCUAGGAAGCUUGCUUAGAUCGGUUGAGUAAUAAGGAAGCUUCUCCUCUAUCGGCAUGUCGAAGAACUCCUCGGCAACGCGCAUCAUUUCGUUGAUCACGUUCUCCGGCACACCGUGGUUGAUAACCUGCACAGGUUCGUAUACAAACUUGCAUGCUUUUAUAAAAACGCUCCGUCAAAAAUAUCUGUGUACAAAAUUUAGAGUUGCCAAGCACAAUUUAAUCAAGUUUUUUUCAAUGUUGUAAGGGAUAUAUCCAGUUGUUUGGGAGAGUCUUCGACAAGAAAAUAACCCAUUUAGUGCCUCUUUGGCCCGAGUCUGAUUGACUGUGCGGCAAUCAAAAACAUCCUCAGCUUCUGCUACAGCAGAAAUCUAAGACCCAGAAUCAAAAGCUUCAAAUUGAAGCUUUCAAAUCUACUGAAGAGAAAAGUACAGUUCUUCGUAAAAACACUUUUAAGAGUAGCUUUUGAUCAAACAACACCACCUCUACGGGUCAUACAAGCACAAUUAAUAUGAUAUGAGCACCUGAAGGAAACCAAAUUCUUUUCCAGCAUCAAUAAUUUGCUCCACAACUGUUGCAAGUUCUUCUCCGUUAGGAUUUCCUCCUUUGAGAUCCACCACCGGGAUCGCUUCCCACGCGGGAAUAACAUUUCCUGGGCGCUUCUCCAUAGGCAUAACAUAGUUUUGGGGCACUGCUUCAUAAAUUGUGCCAUCGGAGAGAAGCUUCGCCAUCUCAAAAUUAAUUGGAAAUUAAACUUGUAGCUUGAUAAAUGAUCAUACAGUAGAAUCUUAUACAAGUGAGUCUUGUUGUUGACUUUAGCACUAAAGAUUAGAGUAUAAUACAUAUUUUUCUUUGGAAAAUAUAUAGAUAUAAUGAGUACCGUUACGGACCAUCCUGAAUGUCGUCUUUAUGAACUAUUGAGAAUUUUGAUUAGUUUAUACACAUAACCGAAUAAUGCAUUAACAGUCUAUAGAGGGAGACAAACUUAUCUGUAAACUGUAUUAUACUUUCAUCUUGCAUAUGAAGUUAAUUUUUUGAAUAUUUCUUUGGUUUGAAAAUUUUCACAUUAUUCUUGAUUAGAUGUUUACUAGUUUACAUGAUUCGGUGUAAUUAGUUUGAUGCAAAUCCAAUCCAAUAUAAAGUAUCUAUUACAAAGAAGCUUUGUUGGGCACCCAAAGCAUUUGAGGCAUUUCCCAAUUAUAAAAUUGUUGAGUGCUUUAGCUAUUCUAGCAGAUCUAUCUUUUAGUUGAAUUAUUGGUGGAAUCCAUGUUCUCUGAGAAUAUGCCAAGAAGUUGCUGGCUCUAUAUAAAUUAUUUGCUUUGGACAUGGUCAACAUUGAAAGAGAGAGAUUGAAAGCGAAUUUAAAUUUUCCAAUAUAUAGAAAUCUGAUGCUUUUGGCACCAUAAUUCCAAACUAGCCCUAACUAUAAGAAGAGAGUACUUCUAUGUAUAUGUAUAUAUUUGGUCCUCAAACUAUGAGGUUUGUGAUACUUUAAUUUGUUAUAAUUCCUGGCUCAAACUUUUUGAAUUAUUGGAGUCCAAUUAGUUGACUAAAUAUUAAUAUGUCGCUAAUUUGAAAGAGAUAUAGCGGUAUUAUGAUUAAUAAUACAACAAUAAUUAAGAUAUCUCAUUAUUUUUAUAUCAGUGAUGUGUUAAUAUCUAGUCAACAAAAUUAGAUUACAACAAUUUACAUAAUUUGAGUCAGAAAUUGUAAUAAAUUAAAGUUUUAGGACCAAAAUGUCAUGAACCUCAAGAGUUUGAGGACCGAAUGUGCAAUUUAGCCUGUAUAUAUAGAGUUGAUCUGAAAAUAUAAUAGUACUCCAGUAGCUUAAUUUUUUGAAAGAAAUCAUUUUGAUAGUUCCUAGCCAUAAUAAAAAUAAAAGUUUCAGAAUUGAAGUUUUUAGCUUAAAUUAAAUCAGCUUCUUGAUGUUGUUGCUAAAACUCCAAUUUUUUUAGUUGACAAAUAUCUGAAUAUUGAUAUUGUUGCUCAAUAUGUGAGCAAGUUUCAAAGCCAGCUAAACAAGGCAAUAAGAUUAGUGAAAUUCUUCAUGAAGUACUGUUAGGGGUGUAAUGUGGGCCGUGCCUGUCCCACAUUUUUCGGGACGAAACGGGCUAGGAACUGAUCCGGCCCGGCCCGACAUCAAAUGUGGGUUGGGCUGUGUCGGGCCCGAGCUCCCUAGCCUCCAGCCCAGCAUGGCCUCUCGGCCCGGAAGCCACAGGGCGUGCCAGGCCGGGCCGUUCUCCGGGCCGGCUUCUUUUUUAAAUUUUUUUAAAAAUAUAUAUAUAAUCUAAAAAUAUAAGCAAGAAACUACUUUUAUUUAAAUUGAUAUUAUGUUAAAAAAUUUAAAAUAUAUAAAAAUAAUUAUAAAAUAACAAAUGUUUAAAUUUAUUUAAUAUAUAUAUAUAUAUAUAUAUAUAUAUAAUUAUUAUAUAUAUAUAUAUAUAUAUUUGAAAUAUUUUAAAAAAUUUAAAAUCAUUUUUGGUUCAAUAGACCAAAAUUAUUUUGUUCAUUGGACCAAAGCAUGCCUCCCAGAUCUGCUUCCCAAGGUCUGCUAGGCAAACCUUGAGAGUAGAUAUCCUGGGGAGCCUCCUCCCCGGGAGAUCAGGACCCAGGGCCGAUCUCCCCUAGACACAAGGCAGCUUGCCUUGGGACUGGGGUUUCCGUGCUGUGCUGGCUCAGGACUACCACGGCCCAAGCAGGCUGUGCCGUGCCGGGCUAGCGACCUGUUUCGGGCCGGGCCGUGCCGAGCUGUCAGGCCCCAAAAAAGCGGCGUCCGAAGAGCCGGGCCGGCCCCGCCUGCAGCACAGUUGCUACAGUAGCUGUGCUGGGUUACAGUCCGGCCUGCAGUCAGUCGUCUGUUUUACACCCCUAAGUACUAUGAAUUUAUUGGUGGAAUAUUUCUUGUAAUACAAUAAAUUAUUUGUUAAUGGAAUCAUCUAUUAUGUUGAGAGCUACAAUUUUGUCUCUUCUUUUGUAUUACCUAAUGUUUGUUGACAUAAUUUGUUCUCCACAUUGAGGACAGAAACAAACCGUACCCAACACGAGAGCCAUGAUAAAAGAAUUGUAUCACAUUCUAAUUUAUGGAACCACAUUUUGGUUUGUGUCUUUUGUUGAAAAUGUAGCAAAAUGUAACAACUAUUCAAACAUAUGUGAUUGAUAAUUGGAUUUAAGUAUUUUGGGCAGGCGGUUUAUAUCUAAUUAGUUAUUAUUGUUAGUUAAGUAGGUACAUUUGGUAGAGUUGGUUCACGCGUCGAAGUUUACGUGAGUUAUCGGGAUUUAAAUAAGGGGAGUAUAUGAUGUCUCAAUAAUUUCUUAUCGGAUGAAAGUAUAAGAAUUACAUACUCUGGUACUAAAAAUUGGAUUUAAGUAUUUUCGGUUGGUGGCUUGGAUUUAGUAAGUUAUUAAUAUUAAUUAGGCUGGGUCAUUUGCACCUGUUUGGAAUGUUGUAUAGAUUUAUUGUUUUUAUUUUUGAAAAUGUCAUAGUGUGUUGUUGUUGUAUUUUUUUUUUUUUUUUUUUUUUUCACUGGAGCAAAUGUUGCCAUCUAAAGAGGAAAUAACCCUUCAAAGAAAAGGCAUGAAUUAGCUUGUCUUUACAUGUAAAUUUGAACCCUGAUUUUAACUAAUUUUGAUGUUAAUUUUAUUCUAUCCUUAUUUCUUUUCACUUUUACCCAUUUACAAGUGAAGAAUAAUUACGAUGCUGUUGUCACUUCAAAAAAAAUUAAAAUAUGACAAGGUUUCAAACACUCACGUUUUCCAUCAUGAGAAUUGAGUUAAAAAGAUCUACUCUAUUAUUAUUUCUUAAAUGCUUAUUGGUUGUUUUAUGUUGAUAGAAGCCUAACUUUUGUUGCGUCGCUAACUUUGAAAUUAUCAGUUACCAAAGUUAUGGAAUUGAAGUUCAAUAAUACGCACGUCACGAACACCAACAUUUCAGAUCUGAUCUGAGCGUAGCCUUGUCCAAAUACGAUCAAAUUAUGAUUGAGAGAAAUCCAAAAUCGACAUAUAACAAGAUCCUGUUUAAUCCAAAAAUUAACUUAAUAUCACGUGAAUCGAAACUGAGUCAGAUGUUCUAAGCUUCUCAGAUUAUGUUAUAAACAUCCAGACAAUGUUUAAAUUGAUACGCCUAACACAAACACAACUUGCGAAACUACAUUGCCACUCCUGAUACAAGCACGAUUUGUCGAAUAAUAUCGAAAACAUGUCGCGUUGUUCACAUGCUCUGUAUCUGGUACAUAAUCAUAGGUGGUGGUGGUGGUGGUGGUGGUGGUGGUGGGGGACUUUGUACAUUGCUUGUUAAUUUGUCCUCAUUUUCCAAAUUCAGAGAAUUACAAUGCUCCAUGAUAACGACUUGGUCAUAAAUGUUUAUGAUAACAGGGACUCCCAUUCAAGCACCAAUAUGCCAUUUCGCAGGAGCAAAUAUUAUAGGGAGAGCCUAUUUAUCGGGAGAUGCAUUCAUAUUCACACUGCUUUAAGAUUCAAUCACGGCACAUGAUGUCGAUGGAUUACAUAUUGUCUCCAUAGGAUAGAGCUGAAGUGAUUUUAUUAUAAGUCAUAACACUGUUUGGUAAAGUGUUAUUUGAAUAAAAUUAUUUCAAACUAAAAAAAAUAGAGAUUUAGAGGAGGAUUAUAUUGAAAUUGUUUUGGCUGAACCAAGAGCUUUAAUUUUAAUUUUUUAGGAUUGUAUUUUCAUAUCACGAUUUAUUUUUUAUUUUUAUUUGUUGAAUACUCUUUUACAAAUCAUUGCGAUUAUUAAGCAAUAACCAUGCCUGCUUAAACUAUGCCACAAAAAAAAAAGGAAAAACUUCAAAAAACCCCGUGGUUUCGCACUUUUUCAUUUUAAUACCCUAUGAUUUAAAGUGUAUCAAGUUAGUACCAUAUGGUUUCGUACUUUCUCAUUUUAAUAUCCUAUGAUUUAAAGUGUAUCAAGUUAGUAUUUUAUGGUUUUAUUUUUAUAUCAAGUUAGUGCUAUGUGGUUUUAUUUUUCUCUUAAUGAAAUAUUAAACCACAUGAUACUAAAGUGAGAAAGUGUGAAACUACAGGAUACUAACUUGAUACACUUUAAACUACAGGGUACUAAAGUGAGAAAAAAUGAAACCACACGUGCGGUAUUUGAAGUUUUCCUAAAAAAAAAAAAAAUCUAACACUAUUAUUCGUUUCUAACAAGGCUCUUUUGCGAGCAACUCAAAGAAGAAUCUUUUUUGGUGAUACGUCAAUGGAAUUACUCAUGAUGACAACAAAAUAAAAUAAAAUAAAACAAAACAAAAUAAUCUCACAUUUCCAUCUCCAUCACGCAAAAUUAUUGACAAGAAUAAAAAAAAAUUUCACGUGAAAAAAAUUUGUACUCCUCCCCCCCGCCCCAACCACACAGAUUAUGCCACGUCAGCUCACCUGACGUCGCGUGCUGACGCAGCCCCCUGACCGGCUGACCUGGCCGCCUCUCCCCGCCAUUGACCCACGUGCUAUUUUCACCCCACCCCCACCCCAAUUUCACCCCGUGCCCCUCCACCUUUUCGUAUUUACAUUUUACCCCCUGGCACACUCACUCGACACUCUCGUCCUUGUGUAUAUAAAGCCCGCGGGCUCCUAACCAUUCAAAAGUUGUAUUCGCAAUUCGCAACUUCUCUCUCUCUCUCUCUCUCUCUCUGUUUUUUUUUUUAAGUAUUAAUGGAUUCUUCACUCCUACUACUCGAAGGAUCGCUCCCUUUCGAUGUGAACGAUAGCGAAGAGACGCUCCUCUACGACACGCUCGCGGAGGCGGCCACGGAGACCGUGGGGGGAUCCCGGGGCCGUGGUCGUCCCUCCGAUCGGCCGUAUAUCGGGGUCCGAAAGCGUCCUUCGGGGAAAUUCGCUGCGGAGAUACGCGACUCGGCGCGGGGCGGGGAGCGGGUGUGGCUGGGGACGUUCGAGAGCGCUGAGGCGGCCGCCCUGGCCUAUGAUCAGGCGGCGUACGCCGUGCGGGGGGCGGCCGCGGUGCUCAAUUUCCCCGUGGAGCGCGUAAAGGAGUCGCUGCGGUGGCUCGAGGAGGCGGCGGGGGGCGGGGACAGCGACGACGGUUCGCCGGUGGUGGCGCUAAAGAAGAGGCAUUUGAUCAGGAGGAGGAGGGGGGGGACCGGGGGGUCGAAAUGUAAAAAGGGCGCGGGGGAGGGGGUGAAGCGUAAUAUUUUUGAGUUUGAGGAUCUGGGCGAGGAAUAUUUGGAGGAGCUUCUAAGCGCAUCAGAGCUUGCCACGUGUUGAUUAUAGUGUACGAUUAAUUAGAGAGCUACUAUUAUUAACUGUUGUACUAAAUUUUAUUUCUUAAAUACUUAAUAAAAAUUAAGACAAAGAUUUAAUAUUUAUAUUCAUGGUUGAAUAGGAUAGCGUGUUUUUCUUACGAAUUUAUUUUAUCUGAAAACAUAAUUAAAAUGCUGAAUAUAAUAUUCAAUUCUGAAAUAUACGAAGUACAAUAUUCAUACAAUCAAACAAGUCCUAAAUAGAUUUACAGUGUGGGAUUAAGCUUAAUUUUUUUGCCUAUCAAAGUGUCUAAUUAUCUUUUUAUUCAUGAGAUGAUCAAUUUAUGCUAAUCAAGCUUUUUUAGUGUAUUAAUUUUGACUCAAAUAAUCCAAGCUAGGAUGAGGACGUAUACUUGUAAUUAUUGCAUACACAAUGUUCAAUUGCUCAGUUCUAAUACCAACACCAGGUUUAUAUUUCUGAUUAUUUUUAAAAAACAUAAAUUAUUUGUUUGUUGUGUGUAAUUUGAGUAACAAUAGAUAAAGACAUACUAAAUCAGUAAUUCAUAUAUCUUACUAAGAUGACACUAUUGUUCUUUCUUUUAGCUCUUAGCAAACUCCCUUUUUCUUUUCUUUUUUUUCUUUUUAUUUUUUGGUUGAGUUAGAUUUUCCGCGCAGUUCGACCCCAACGGAGACGUAUCUAUACAUCUAAACAAAUAUAUUAAAGAAGAACCCAAAAACGGUACGGCCGAGCUCUCCUCAUUUAGGGUGUGUUUGGUUACCCUAAAAAAAAUUUUCGGGUUUGAAAAUUACUUUUCUAGCGUUUGGUUUGAUGUUAAAAAAUUUUGCCGGAAAAAUUAUUUUACGGAUUCUACGUAAAAGUAAGCUUUUCAUUUUUAGCCAAAUCACGGCGGAAAAUGAAAACUUACAGUAAAAAAUCGCGGCUCAGGAUCAGGUCCACGAGCUCAUUUAAGAGCUUGUGGAUCAUGUGAGUGGUUCACACCGACUCCAUAUAAAAUAUUUUAUUUAUAAAUUUAUUUUAUAGUAUUAAAUAUAUUUUAUUUAUAAAUAUAAAUUAUAAUAUUAGUAAUAUGAUAAUUAUUAUAUAUUAAUAAUAUAUAAUAUAUAAAAUAAAAAAAUAUAUAUAAUAAUUUUUUAUUUAUAAUUAACUUUUUUCUUCUUUUCCUUUCUUUUCCUUUCAACCAAACAAUCAUAACGAAAAACUAUUUUUUUUUCCUAUAAACCAAACGCUAAGAGUGUAAAAUUUAUUUUCCUCCGAAAAUUUUUUUUCCACCAAAAUUUUUUUUUUUUCGCAGUUUUACGUCGAACCAAACAGCCCCUCAGGGGAAUAGAUAGAGCCCUCUUUUUUCCUUCCUUUCUCUCUUCCCCAUUAUCCUUUUCAUUUUUUUGUUUACACCAAAUAUGCAAAUUUAUUACAUAACUAAGCCUAUUUUUGAAUAAUAAAUAUAACAAGAUUAAAAUUUCAUCUGAUAGGUAUAAUCUAUAAUAUAUAAAAAAUCUAGACACAAAAAUUAAUAUAUUUGUAUCUUUAUAAUAAAACUUUAUGAGUACGAUGUAAAAAAAAACUAAAAAAAAAAACUAUUUGUACCUUUAUAUAUAUUAUAUGGUUCCACGUCGUGAUGGAAAAGCCCGUACUAUAUAUAGGCUCAUAAGGAUAGGAGUUACAGGAAUGUAAAGCCAUAAAUUUCAUAGCAUCUUUAUGCUAAGUUCAUAGUGCAGAGUUAGUUUUUACCAAAGCGAUUGGUUAGAUUCAAUGCAAGCAAAGACAAAUGUUUGUGAUUAAGGGUAACUUGCAUUUUUUAUAUAGCCAGAUCAAUUAUUAUAUUAAUAAUAAAAAUAAACAACGAUAGCAUCAAAAUGAGUUUAAGUUUUAAUUUAAUAGGGUUUUUAGAAUAAAGAUUAUUAAUAAUAAUUAUAAACUAUAUAAAUAUUAAAAGUUAAAAAUAUCAAAAAAUAAUUAUUUUAAUGCGUACAUACGAUAUUAUAUUUUUUCUUCUUAGUUUAGAAGUUUUAAAAUUAUAUAAUAUAUUAAUUGAUUGAAUAAUGUAGAGCCGUGCUUAACCCUAGACUUGUUUUGGGGUAUGGUGGGCCACCCACUUUUCCUGUUCCCUCUCUCUAACGACCUUUAUUUGUAAUUUAUUUGCGCUGCUCUGUUCAAUGUCUUUUUACAUGAAGCCAAAAUUUUUUAAAUAAUUUAAAUAUAAUAAAAAUUAAUUUUAAAUUUAAUGAAUUAAUUAUAUAUAUAAACGAAGUGUUCGAUAACAAAAUUAGCGUUAAUUUUUUACUUUUAUGUAAAAAUUUGUAUAAAUACUAUGUAAAAAAUAAUUAAUACUUAUGCACCCAAUAUAUAAGAUAAUUAUCUCUAUAAUUUUUUGCGUUAUUAGUGAUGAACAUGAUACUUAUAGUAUAUAUAUAUAUAUAUAUAUAUUAUAUAUAUAAUAUAAUUAUAUAUAUGCACCAAUAUAUAAGAUAUUAUCUCUUAUAAUUUUUGCUUUAUUCAGUGAUGAGACAUUGAUAUAUUUUAUAUAUAUAUAUAUAUAUUAUAUAUAUAUAUAUAUAUAUAUCCUUAUAGUAUAUAAUAUAUAUAUAUAUAUGCACCUUUUUUUAUGUUAACCAUCUUAGCUUAACAUCAAAACUUAAAAAUUCGUUGCAAUGACGUCGUGCCCUUAGAUAAAGUGGAAUAAAAGGCCUUGAUGAUUGAUACCCGAGAAUGGUCCCCAAGGUUAUCGAAUCCUAUUGAUUCACUAUUUCUAGCUAAGUUAUUAAAAUGAAAUAAACAAAGCGAGAUAGCGUGGCUACACUGAUUCGUCUACAAACAAAAAUAAAAAAAAAAAAAAAAAUAAUUGUUGAUGGACCUAAUCAUAUUUUUAAUAAUUAUGUUACUAACAAAAUUAAAAUCGUAUAUGAUAAAUUAUAAUUUAUAAUAUUAUAGAGCGUUUAAAUACGAAAAAAUUACUAUAAUGUUUUAAUUUUAAAAAAUAUCUUCUAUAUACAAUAUAGAAUCGAUAAAUGAUCAACGGAGCUGCUCCUUAUUUUGAGCAUUACUGGCCCACCACUUUUUUUCACUUGGGUCCCGUCUCCCUAACCUUUUUUUUUCUUUUUCCUUUUUUCUUUUAUUUGCCUGCACCAGCAUCCUUAAAAAAUCGUUGCAUGGAACACAAAAUUUAUUUUUUAAUAGAUUAUAUGAUAAAUUAAAAUCGAAACCUUGAUGAGCUUCCAUCUGACAUAUACAUAAAAAGUUUAGAUAUAAAAAAAUUAUUGAAUUAUUAAUAUAUAUAUAUAUAUAUAAUAUUAUAUGACCCAAUUAUAUUAAGAUAAUUUAUUCUUAUAACUUUUUGUUAUAGUUGAUUGGGAGGACAUGGAUAUAUAUAUAUCAUAUAUAUAUAUAUAGUAUAUAAUAUAUAAUAUUAUAUUAUACUAUAUUAUAUAUAUAUUAUAUGCACGUUUUAUUUGCGUUACAUCUGUGCCUGUACAUCAAAAACUAAAAAUUCGUUGCUGAUGACGCAUCGUCCUUAGAUUAAGUGGCAAAGGCUUGAUGAUUGUACCCCCCGAGGUCCAUAAGUUCGAAUCCUAAUUGUUCACGAUUUCAGCUAAGUUUUUAUUCUAAAUGAAAUAAAAAAGCGGAUAGGUGCUACAUAUCUCUACAAAAAAAAAAAAAAAAAAAAAAAAAAUUUGCCUGGACAUCUUAUUUUUAAUAAUUAUGUAACAAUUAGAAUCUAUAUGGAUAAAUGUACUUUAUAAUAUAUAGAGGUGUUAAAUACAAAAAUUACUUAUGUUGUUUAAUUUUAUAAAAAUAUCUCUAUAUACAAUAUAGAAUUCAUUCAAUGAUACAACGAGCUCUCCUUAUUUUGGCCAGAUUACUGGCGACACCCACUUUUUUUCACUUUCUUUCUUCUCCAUAACCUUUUUCUUUUUUUUUCCUUUUUGUUUUUUUUUGCCUGCAGCCACUUCUUAAAAAUCCUUCGCAUGAACAAAAAAUUAUUUUUAAUAAUAAUAUGAUAAAAUCUAAAAUCUAACCUGAUUGAGUUCAAUCUUACAAUACAUAAAAGUUUAGAUUUAAAAAAAAUUAUUGAAUUUUAUUUUUAUAAUAAAUUUUAUAAAUUUAUUAUAAAAAAAAUAGUUAUAUAUAUCUGGUUGACUUUUUUUUUAUAAAUAGAUAGUUGUUGUGGGUUUUUUUUCUUUUUGGUAGUGCUCUAUUUUAUUUUCUAAUUAGGUAAUACUUUAUAUUAUUUUAAUUUUAUUUAAUAUUAUAAAAUUUUUGAAGUAAAUAUACUUCAUAUAAAGUUAGUAUGACACAUUAUAUCUGAUUUGUGGUAGUGUAUUUUUUAUUUCGUUUAUUAUUAUAUAUUUUUAUAUACUCAUAAAAUUAUACGUGUUUAAAAAAAUAAACAUUCUGAAAAAAAAACUGAAAUAUUAUUUU
This 39068-nucleotide long non-coding RNA is filed under the name Ananas comosus (pineapple). RNAcentral describes it as "long non-coding RNA (ACOM_LNC032011)". The record is from RNAcentral. Lineage: Eukaryota; Viridiplantae; Streptophyta; Magnoliopsida; Poales; Bromeliaceae.